AUGAGGGGGUGCACUGGGCAGUGGGAGGGCCUUCAGGAGGGCGAGCCUGGGCCCUUCCUCAGGCAGGACCCCUGUCCCGGCCCCGCCUCCCUGUGGUGUACCCUGGGAGCCACGCCUGUCACACAGGAGUGUUGGGGAGCAGGCCACAGCAGGGGUUCCAUGUCAGCUACCUCCCUCGAUCCUAAAAAAUGCGGGGUCUUCUCCUUUGUGCUUGGGCAAACAGACUCAGGGGCUUGGUCGGCCUUGGAUCCAGCUCCUUCCGAUGGCCUGGGAGGGCAGAGGGAGAUGGCCCGGAUGGAGCGCCUGGCUCCUGGCUUCCGUCCUGGCUGUUGUGGCCAUUUGGGCAGUGAACCAGUGUAUGGACGUGAUCUCCUUGUCUGUCCAUCUUUCAAAGCAAUCUGUCAGCAAUCAACUAAAAAUAGGCUUAGUCUUUUCCCGGGCUUUGCACCAGAGCCCAGGCCAGGCCUCGCCUGUGAGCGGGGUGCAGAGCUGAAGCCUGGCCCUGAGUCUGCCGCCUCCCACCCCAGCAUGGGCCUGGCACUCAGCGUGCUGACCUGCUGGGGCCUGUGGAGCUGGCCGUGCUGGGGGAGCGGGCUGCUGUAUACACACGGCCCCUGUUUCCCACUUGGUCAGCCCCAGCCUGGGAGCUGUGACGCCGUCCACAUGACUGCGCCUGUGACCUUAUCAGGAGCCGGGGGCUCGUGCCUGCUGAUGGUGCUGUGCAGGGCAGGCGGCCUGGUGUCCACCCUGUACCUCCCCUCAGGGCCUGCACGCUGCCCUCCUGGUCCCCACACGACCUCUGCAGCGCCUGUCCCCCACUUCCCACAGUCUGCCCUCCCCGGCUGGGUGCCGGGGCGCUGGACGGGAACUGAAAGUGAACUGUACAGAGGCUCUGCAGUGGUGUUGCUGGGUCGCCCCUGGGACUCCGUCUUGUGCUGGUGGUGGCCCUCAGCCCAGCAGAGCUCUGAAGGGGGACACAGCAUGUGGCAGCCUGGCCCCGAGCUCUGUGAGCCACCAGGCACCUGGUCACCCACUUGGCCCUCAGUCAGAGCUGUCUGGGUGACCCGUGCCCAAGGCUCUGGUGACUGA
RNAcentral lists this long non-coding RNA (1089 nucleotides) under Oryctolagus cuniculus (rabbit). Its description in RNAcentral is "lncRNA (ENSOCUG00000032547.1)". The record is from RNAcentral. Lineage: Eukaryota; Metazoa; Chordata; Mammalia; Lagomorpha; Leporidae.